GGUGAUGAAUAGGGGCUGAAGCCUGCCCGGUGCUGGAAGGUUAAGAGGAGUGGUUAGCUUAAGCGAAUCUACGAAUCGAAGCCCCAGUAAACGGCGGCCGUAAAUAUAACGGUCCUAAGGUAGCGAAAUUCCUUGUCGGGUAAUUUCCGACCCGCACGAAAGGCGUAACGAUUUGGGCACUGUCUCAACGAUAGACUCGGUGAAAUCAUAGUACAUGUGAAGAUGCAGGUUA
This 232-nucleotide ribosomal RNA is filed under the name Staphylococcus aureus. Its description in RNAcentral is "partial 23S ribosomal RNA". It matches the Rfam family "Bacterial large subunit ribosomal RNA", at positions 1837 to 2068 of the family's 2925-position model. Lineage: Bacteria; Bacillati; Bacillota; Bacilli; Caryophanales; Staphylococcaceae. The record is from RNAcentral.